GAAAUGCGAUAAGUAAUGUGAAUUGCAGAAUUCAGUGAAUCAUCGAAUCUUUGAACGCACAUUGCGCCCUUUGGUAUUCCGAAGGGCAUACCCGUUCGAGCGUCAUUAAACCCACUCAAGCCUGGCUUGGUAUUGGGCGGCGGGGUGUCCCCGCGCCUCAAAUUCAUCGGCGAGAUUUUUCGAUCGCAAGCGUUAUGGUUUUUCAACUCGCGAAGCGAUUUCGAUGGAUCUCGGCCGUUAAACCUUUCAAUCAAGGUUGACCUCGGAUCGGGUAGGGAUACCCGCUGAACUUAA
This 294-nucleotide unclassified non-coding RNA is filed under the name uncultured Teratosphaeriaceae. RNAcentral describes it as "sequence contains ITS1". The stretch from base 1 to 105 matches the Rfam family "5.8S ribosomal RNA", at positions 50 to 154 of the family's 154-position model. The record is from RNAcentral. Lineage: Eukaryota; Fungi; Ascomycota; Dothideomycetes; Mycosphaerellales; Teratosphaeriaceae.